RNAcentral lists this ribosomal RNA (253 nucleotides) under uncultured bacterium. Its description in RNAcentral is "partial 16S ribosomal RNA". It matches the Rfam family "Bacterial small subunit ribosomal RNA", at positions 524 to 776 of the family's 1533-position model. The record is from RNAcentral.
UACAGAGGGGGCAAGCGUUGUUCGGAAUUACUGGGCGUAAAGGGCGCGUAGGCGGCCUGCUAAGUCGAACGUGAAAUCCCUGGGCUCAACCCAGGAACUGCGUCCGAUACUGGUUGGCUUGAAUCCGGGAGAGGGACGUGGAAUUCCAGGUGUAGCGGUGAAAUGCGUAGAUAUCUGGAGGAAUACCGGUGGCGAAGGCGGCAUCCUGGACCGACAUUGACGCUGAGGAGCGAAAGCUAGGGGAGCAAACGGG